RNAcentral lists this ribosomal RNA (254 nucleotides) under uncultured bacterium. RNAcentral's name for it is "partial 16S ribosomal RNA". It matches the Rfam family "Bacterial small subunit ribosomal RNA", at positions 524 to 777 of the family's 1533-position model. The record is from RNAcentral.
UACAGAGGGUGCGAGCGUUGUCCGGAAUCACUGGGCGUAAAGGGCGCGUAGGUGGCGAUCCAAGUCCAUGGUGAAAGCUCGAUGCUCAACAUCGAGUCGGCCACGGAUACUGGGUUGCUUGAGCACUGUAGGGGCAGAUGGAAUUCCGGGUGUAGCGGUGGAAUGCGUAGAGAUCCGGAAGAACACCGGUGGCGAAGGCGGUCUGCUGGGCAGUUGCUGACACUGAGGCGCGACAGCGUGGGGAGCAAACAGGG